UACGUAGGGCGCGAGCGUUGUCCGGAAUUAUUGGGCGUAAAGAGCUCGUAGGCGGCUGGUUGCGUCUGCUGUGAAAGUCCAGGGCUCAACCCUGGAAUGCCGGUGGAAACUGUCGGGCUAGAGUCCGGAAGAGGCGAGUGGAAUUCCUGGUGUAGCGGUGAAAUGCGCAGAUAUCAGGAGGAACACCAAUGGCGAAGGCAGCUCGCUGGGACGGUACUGACGCUGAGACGCGAAAGCGUGGGGAGCAAACAG
RNAcentral lists this ribosomal RNA (252 nucleotides) under uncultured bacterium. RNAcentral's name for it is "partial 16S ribosomal RNA". It matches the Rfam family "Bacterial small subunit ribosomal RNA", at positions 524 to 775 of the family's 1533-position model. The record is from RNAcentral.